RNAcentral lists this ribosomal RNA (473 nucleotides) under uncultured bacterium. RNAcentral's name for it is "bacterial SSU rRNA". It matches the Rfam family "Bacterial small subunit ribosomal RNA", at positions 335 to 799 of the family's 1533-position model. The record is from RNAcentral.
ACUCCUACGGGAGGCAGCAGUGGGGAAUAUUGCACAAUGGGCGCAAGCCUGAUGCAGCCAUGCCGCGUGUAUGAAGAAGGCCUUCGGGUUGUAAAGUACUUUCAGCAGUGAGGAAGGUGGUAGUGUUAAUAGCACUAUCAUUUGACGUUAGCUGCAGAAGAAGCACCGGCUAACUCCGUGCCAGCAGCCGCGGUAAUACGGAGGGUGCGAGCGUUAAUCGGAAUUACUGGGCGUAAAGCGCAUGCAGGUGGUUUGUUAAGUCAGAUGUGAAAGCCCGGGGCUCAACCUCGGAAUUGCAUUUGAAACUGGCAGACUAGAGUACUGUAGAGGGGGGUAGAAUUUUAGGUGUAGCGGUGAAAUGCGUAGAGAUCUGAAGGAAUACCGGUGGCGAAGGCGGCCCCCUGGACAGAUACUGACACUCAGAUGCGAAAGCGUGGGGAGCAAACAGGAUUAGAUACCCUGGUAGGAUAGCG